This 497-nucleotide ribosomal RNA is filed under the name uncultured bacterium. RNAcentral's name for it is "partial 16S ribosomal RNA". It matches the Rfam family "Bacterial small subunit ribosomal RNA", at positions 28 to 507 of the family's 1533-position model. The record is from RNAcentral.
GAUGAACGCUGGCGGCGUGCCUAAUACAUGCAAGUCGAGCGAACAGACGAGGAGCUUGCUCCUCUGACGUUAGCGGCGGACGGGUGAGUAACACGUGGAUAACCUACCUAUAAGACUGGGAUAACUUCGGGAAACCGGAGCUAAUACCGGAUAAUAUAUUGAACCGCAUGGUUCAAUAGUGAAAGACGGUUUUGCUGUCACUUAUAGAUGGAUCCGCGCCGCAUUAGCUAGUUGGUAAGGUAACGGCUUACCAAGGCAACGAUGCGUAGCCGACCUGAGAGGGUGAUCGGCCACACUGGAACUGAGACACGGUCCAGACUCCUACGGGAGGCAGCAGUAGGGAAUCUUCCGCAAAGGGCGAAAGCCUGACGGAGCAACGCCGCGUGAGUGAUGAAGGUCUUCGGAUCGUAAAACUCUGUUAUUAGGGAAGGACAAAUGUGUAAGUAACUAUGCACGUCUUGACGGUACCUAAUCAGAAAGCCACGGCUAACUACGUG